This 97-nucleotide transfer RNA is filed under the name Gracilaria ferox. Its description in RNAcentral is "tRNA-Ser". It matches the Rfam family "tRNA". From Rfam's summary of the family: Transfer RNA (tRNA) molecules are approximately 80 nucleotides in length. Their secondary structure includes four short double-helical elements and three loops (D, anti-codon, and T loops). The record is from RNAcentral. Lineage: Eukaryota; Rhodophyta; Florideophyceae; Gracilariales; Gracilariaceae.
UGAGAAGAUGGUUGAGUGGUUUAAAACAACGGUUUGCUAAAUCGUCACACUUUAAUUUUAGAAAAGUGUCAUGGGUUCAAAUCCCAUUCUUCUCAAC